Molecule: non-coding RNA, 1182 nt
Organism: Equus caballus (horse)
Lineage: Eukaryota; Metazoa; Chordata; Mammalia; Perissodactyla; Equidae
Source: RefSeq, a predicted model, not a curated record
CUUAACGUCCAUGCCUAGAGAGAGGGAAGAUCCCGGGCGCAAAAAAAUGCAGAAAGCUGACCUUGCCCGCAAGUCAAAUAGUUCUGCACCCCUCCCCCUAGCUUCCCAGGGAGCCGGUUCACGCCAUCCCAAUUGGUCAGUCUGCCUGUUCCAGCACCUGCCUGGCAGUGACAAGGGAAUCUCCACGGAGGACGAGAGGGUCUGAAAGGAGGCGGCCUCGGAAACGCUGAGGCCCACGAGGAAAGGAUGAGAAGAAGAAAAAGAGGAGAGAACCUUCGGAGGGAUGAGGCCGAGCGGUCAGAGGCUAACGGGGACCUGGCUUGGGAGGACGACUGGGGGACAGGAGACGGAGGUCUUAGGAGGGCUCAGGAAGACUUCUUCUUCCUGCCAAGCCUGCUCUGGUGGAACGGAAAAGUCCAGCAGUUUGAUUCAGGGUAAAUAUUUUAUCUUGCCUUUUAAUGCUCGUGUUCUUGGUUCAUUGUUCAAACAUCCAUGUCCUCUGCAUAGUCACAUGGAUCAAUCUCUAGAGGACACAGAUUCUGUUUGCUUGAUUUGGCAGCAAGACACAUCACUCAGCACAAUUACUUAUUAAAAGGCGUUUGAUUAAAACUAACCGUGUUGAAAGUUUUCCAGACAAGAUCCUCAUCUGCUGAUAAGGUGACAUCUAGUUUUCUUUUUAAUUUUCUCGAGCUCCUUUCAGAUACAAAUUGUAAAACAAAUACCCUCAAUGAAGAAAGAAUUGAUAUUGAGAAGGCUCUCAGACCAUCCCCCCUCCAGCUGGCCUGAAUUCCCCAUGGAAUGGUGAAGAGCAUGGGCUCUGGAGUCUCCAUUUCAUCUCCAAUACUUUGCUUGCUGUGCAACAUUGGGCAAGUUACAUGGCCCCUCUGAAAAACGUAAACCUCAUCUGCAAAAUGGAGCUAUCUCAUAGGACUCUUUUGAGAACUAAAUAAAAUAAUACAGGUAAAGCAUUUGUCACAUUGCUUAACACAUAGUUCAUGCUAACAAAUCACCCUUAACAGCUGCAUUCUUAAAUUUGGAAUUCACUUGCUGACUUGCAUUAUCUUUCCAAGGGCAAAGUGGUUAGCCUGCCCACCCAAAUUGUAAACUCUGAAAGGCAAAAUGAAUUCAAUACAAUUUUUAAUCACUGUAGAGACAUUAAAAUUUCUGCUGACUUAUUAUAUA